Molecule: unclassified non-coding RNA, 438 nt
Filed under: Hevea brasiliensis (rubber tree)
Lineage: Eukaryota; Viridiplantae; Streptophyta; Magnoliopsida; Malpighiales; Euphorbiaceae
Source: RNAcentral
GCUAUCCAAGCAAAACCAGACUCUAUCUACUUUGUCGUUAACAGGUUCUCUUUCCUUUUACUGCUUUCACAUGUUAGUUUAUGUUUGUUGCAAUUGUAUAACAAUUAACAAUCCAGUACAUUUGUAAAAUUGGACAGAAAUAUGUAUCAAAUUGCAUGGCAGUGUACUAACAAGGAGGUCAUCACAGUAGAAUGUGAUGGGUAAUAAUAUGUUAAGUAAUUAAAACGAUUUGAGCUAUUGAGUGUUUCCUUGAACUCAUAGCCUUUCUAAUAGUACAAAAGAACAAUUUUACUACUGCUCCAAGAUUCACCCUCAAAAUCAAAAUUUUUUGAGUACUCAAAACACUCAAUUGUAGAAAUUAGGAUUCCAAGAAUGAGUAACCAUUAUCUUCCUUUAUUGAUGCACGUCUCAUUAGUAAUUAGUUAAUGGAAAAAAGAA